Long non-coding RNA from Poecile atricapillus (Black-capped chickadee), 2023 nucleotides. RefSeq lists it as uncharacterized. Lineage: Eukaryota; Metazoa; Chordata; Aves; Passeriformes; Paridae. The record is from RefSeq and is a predicted model, not a curated record. The transcript is spliced from 3 exons.
UAAAAUUCAAGUUUGUAUCUAAGUAAUUGUACCCAUUUACAUUAAGUCUGAAGGCAGACAAGGUAAGAGUAGCAGUCAGGAAGAACUACUUCAGACUACUGCAGGUGACCUGGUUUCAGCCAGGGCAGGGUUAAUUUUUUGCAGUAGCUGGGAGGGGGCGUGGCCGAGGGGGCAUGGCCAGGACCCAGAUGUUAUUUUAUACCAUGUCACAGUCAUUGGUGGGGGGAAGGGCUUCUUGAUUCUGAGGAGAAGGGCAUUCUUUCUGUUCAGGAAAAUGGGGUGAGGGGAAGCUGUCUGCCACUGUUUAUUGUCUGGGCUCCUUGAUUGGUGCCGUGACUAGGAUCAAAGAAACUGCGGGAGAAUCUCACUGUCCAGGACGGGUACCCCCGCUGAUUUUGGCGGCCUGGGGAGUCAAGAGCCUCCGCAGUUCGUUCCGACUUCCGAACCAAAUUUAGGCUAAGGCAAAAACCACAAUAAAAAGAGAGACGGAUCCAGAGAGCUCGGGAAGGCACGGAGCCUUCGAGAAAGCCGCGGCUUGGUAGCUGGUAAAAGGUCGACAGUGCACGAAGACGCCCUCGCAGGAAAUAGCUGAGCUGAGGAAAAGAGGACUGAUUCCCCAAAGUGCAACGUUAGGAUUUCCAAUCCACCAGAUACAGCCUGGGGAUAAAGUCCUGAUCAAGGCGUGGAAGGAGCAUCCCCUCAGCCCUCACUGGGAGGGACCAUUUCUCGUCCUCCUGACAACAGAUACCGCGGUUCGGACUGCCGAAAGGGGCUGGACACACUCAUCUCGGGCGAAGAAAGUAACGGAUUACAAUUCCUCCGAGUGGAAAGUCACCACCCCUCCGGGAGAGUUGAAAAUUAAACUCCGGCGUCACCACAAAUGACAAGUGAAGGGCAGAUAAGUUGUAUUAAUCCUGAUUGUUAUUGUUUUCCAUUUGUCCAUUUCAAGUGUGCUUAUUGUAACCAUAUUUGGGUGGCUCACUGUUUGGGAGGGUACAAACCCAAGGGGUCGUGCACCAAGUGUCUAGAAAAAGAACAAGAGCAAACUAACCUUUUCCUAAUACUUGCCACCCGGGCGGGGAUUUUGGAACUCGACUCUCCCGAGUGGUUCCUGUUUUUCCAAAAGGGUUUGAGAGGCAAACUAGAUUGUAAAGCAGAACCUUCAGUAAUCAAGUGUCGUAGAACGAUAAAAGUACCGUGUAAGACAGAUAUGAUCAAAGCGUCUCGGUGGGCUGCCUUUAAGAGAAGGUACGCCAUAAGGACUUCAAGGGCCCCUGAAGACAGUCCUUGCUGCUGAGAAGAUGGCAAUCCCCGCCGUAUGUUCUUAUACGGGCGAAGGGCGAGGCAGAGGGAUGCAAUGGUGGGGAAUCCUGACAGUCCUGAGUCUAGCCAUGUGCUUGGCCGAGGGAACGAGUCCCGAGGCACCUCUGGGGGAGCGUCCUCUGGGGAAGUGUGAGCAGUGUCGGACUGCCACAGUUACCGAACGAAUGAUCAACUGUCCUCCGGAACUACGAGCGGGGUUAUGCUGGGCUAAUGGCACUCAGUAUAAUCUGUGUAAAUUGGAGGGGGAGGUUUGGUGUUCCCGCCCAGGGGCAAGUUUUAAAGACAGGCAGUUUCAAACUCUGGAAGGACAAAAGACCCAAACAACCCACUUCAGAAACAAAAGGGAAGUGGGGGGAGUCCCUCCGAUCUCAAUUUUCGGUCAAUGUAAUAAAACCGUUUGGAUCGGAGGUAAAAGGCAAUCUACCUUCAUCGCAUACUACCAAAUCAACCCUCUGUGUUAUAAUAAAGCAAACUUGAAAACGUGUACUAUGGGUGGAAAAAUGUAUUGGGAAGGAAGAAAUUUGAAACAUGAAGCAAAAGCUUCCUUCAACAAUGAACCCAUAAUUCUAGAUUUGUUAAAAAAUGAUGACGACCUGUGGCAGCGGCCUCAGGGAGACAAGGAGUUACAUUGUCCCACCCCAAACCCCUUGUGAAGGGCGGCCCAGGAGUUCUGAUUGGGUUUGAGUCCCUGGGGGGUUCU